GUGUGUGUGUGUCUAUAUCUACAUGUAUAUCUACACACACACACACAUAUAUAUACACUUAUAUAAAUACAUAUAAAUGCACUGCAUUAUACAUACCGCAUACUAAUCUCGGAUGACGACACUUCUUUACCUUCCGUCUUUCCUUUGUCAUUUGACAAAAAAAGUAAAUGCAUCACUCUCACAAUGACGGUUUCUUCUCCAAAUCUUCAAAUCGAGUGCCGUCUCCAAAUCUUCUGAGGUUGCGACCUGUUGCGAACAGAAGCAAAUUUUAACACAUUACACUAAUUUGAACCCUCAGGAAUUAACAGCAAUCCCCUAACGAGAAUUGAAAAAUUAAGAUUUAGCAUCAGCGCCAUAAACGAGUGCGCAGUUAGUUUUCAGGCCCCCUGGUGGCAGACACCGAGUAUGACACAUGAACCAAAUGAACCCAAAAACAGAUAUGCACUGCCAGCAAAGUGUCUCUGCCCUCUAUCUGUCUCUCUCUCUGGCUGCCCUCCUUUUCUGCCGAAGCCACAGACCCAGAGGCUUCGGUGUGCAAGUGAGCGAAACACAUAGGUGGUAUAUCUAAAAACAUGUGAUGUGUAUUACAAACCGCCCGGCCUUUGCGCAAUAAAUUGUACGAUAAAUGCGGCACGUCGUGGGUUGAAGAUGUAUAGAAAGCAUGCAGUACCAGAAAACAGCAAACACUUCUCUCUCUCUCUCUUCCUCUCGGUCUCAUAGUGCCCCAGUUUUAAGGCUGCCUAUCUCUUUCGAAACAAGAGUGGAGAGGGAAACAGCAGACAAAAAGGCAGAUCUAGAAUGGCAUGCAGGGAAAAACAACAGUUUGCAGUGUUACAAAUGUUAAAAAAGCCAAACACGGAAUUCUUGUUCACUAUUCCUUCUCGUCCCAACCUAAUUUACCGAAUUUAUGGCGAAACACGCACUUACAGACACGCAUGGUACGCCUCGUAUGUUAUACACUUAAAGAGUUGUCACGAAAUCCGCUAUAGCGUCUCCAGACGUUCGCUUCCUUAGAGCCGUACGAUAAACUAGUUUCCUCCAUCCCUGUUUGACUUCUAUCUCGCCCUGUGCUCUCCUCUCUUCUUCUUCCUCCUAGCAUGGCGAUGAUGCUCUGACACUCGUGGCGAUCAGAGGCGGCGCAGCUCAUGAGAUAGAGGAGAAGGGCAACGCAAUGCGGAUCCUGGCAGACCGUGUGAGCGGCCAGACAGUCAGCGGGACAGACAGAGGAGGAGGAGGAGACUGUGAUCAUUCAUAUGAGUGCUGGAGAGAUGAUUGGGAGGCUAAUUGC
Molecule: long non-coding RNA, 1288 nt
Organism: Cyprinus carpio carpio
Lineage: Eukaryota; Metazoa; Chordata; Actinopteri; Cypriniformes; Cyprinidae
Source: Ensembl